CCACCAAUUAAUUGUGAGAGCCUAUAAUAUAAUUUCCAUCCGAAAUGCAAUAAUAAAUAGUCAAGAUAGCAGAGUAGGCUCUUUCAACAAUGAGACCAACGUUGAGGAAGAUGGUCUUGAUCGCGCUGUUGGGCCGGGACCAGCCCCGCAGAAAGCGCAGGUCUGUGUGGGUCCAGAGAUGGUUAAAUGUCCCGAAAGCAGGCAGGGGAGUUCCACCGUCUAAUUCAAGAGCUUCGACUGUUUGGAGAGGAAUUCCGAAGUUACUUUCGUCUGGACCGAAGCCAGUUCGAUCACCUGCUCCAGAUGGUUGGAGCCAGGAUCACCCGGAUGGAUACCAACUACCGGGAGUCCAUCAGCCCAGUUGAACGCCUGGCCUUUUGUCUCCGAUUCUUGGCGACAGGGGACUCCUACAGGACCAUAGGAUUCAGCUUCCGAGUUGGACGGUCCAUGGUGGCAGGCGUUGUCCCCUGUGGCACAAGCCAUUUGGGACUGUCUGGUUGGUGAAAACAUGCCUGUCCCCAAGGAGGAAGACUGGAGGGCCAUCACUGCCGAGUUCCUGGAGAGGUGGAAUUUCCCCAGCUGUCUUGGCUCCAUUGACGGGAAACAUGUAGUAAUCCAGGCUCCACCGUGCUCAGGUUCGCAGUUCUACAACUACAAGGGUACAUAUUCAGUUGUACUCUUGGCUGUAGUAGAUGCCAUCUACUGUUUCCGUGUUGUCGAUGUUGAUGCUUACGGCAAGGGAAGUGAUGGCGUGACCCAUCUGAGACUGCCUUUGGCCAGGCACUUCAGGAUGGCACCCUGUAUAUUCCACUACCUGCAUCACUCCCUGGGGCUGAAGACCUGGGACCUGUUCACAUGUGUUCUCCACAACUACCUGCGGAGGAGGUCAUUCCAGGAGCCGCUCCGGAUGGAGAUGGGCACGCCAAAUGGUCACCUUCCUGAUGUCACCAGGGCAGGUGCCAACAACGCCCCCAGACAGGCACUCCAGGUGAGGGAGAAGCUGACCACCUACUUCUCAUCGCCAGCAGGUGAAGUCCCAUGGCAGUAUGCCGUGGAAUGAAACGGCUCUUUUAAUUAAGAGCCCCAUAACACAAAGCUUAUUUUAAGAACCAUCCACUGUUGUCCAUAAAAUUGCAUUUUUCAAUUUGGGAGUAAAAACAGUCAUUAUUAAAAGACAAUUGGACGCCAGUUAUCGAUGAGCAGCACUUCUUUUUUAUGCUUAGGUAUCAGUGUUAUUAACCCCUGGCUCAUUGUAGGAGGGAGAGCAUUGUUUUUAAUACUCUCUAAAAAAGACUUCAAAUAGGAAGGGAGCUACUUGUUCAGAAAAUUAUUUGUAAAAUUCUGAUGUAAUUCCAUCAACACCUGGUGAUUUAUUUUUCUUUAGAUGUUUAAUAGACUCUAUAAUCUCUUCAACUUUGAUGAGUUCAUCACACUGUUAAGAUUCUAUAUCACUGAUAGAGUGAACAUUAUUCAGUGAGUUAAAAAAAAAACAUCUGUGGAUUCCUGACAGUAAGUAGAGCUAUACAAUUUUCUGUAAAGAUUGCUACAGUAUUUAUAGAUUCAUUUUUGGUCAUCUGUAAUAACACCAUCAAUGUUUCAUUUAUGGAUAGUGUUAUUUUUAGAGUGAAAUUUCUCAAGUCUAAAUAAAUAGGAUGAAUUCUGUUCUCCCUCCUCAAUCUAUUUUUUCCUCAAUCUAAUAAAGUCUCCGUCUGCUUUCAAUUUCUA
Oncorhynchus nerka (sockeye salmon) is the source of this 1725-nucleotide long non-coding RNA. RefSeq lists it as uncharacterized. The transcript is spliced from 2 exons. The record is from RefSeq and is a predicted model, not a curated record. Lineage: Eukaryota; Metazoa; Chordata; Actinopteri; Salmoniformes; Salmonidae.